Molecule: long non-coding RNA, 3813 nt
Organism: Silurus meridionalis
Lineage: Eukaryota; Metazoa; Chordata; Actinopteri; Siluriformes; Siluridae
Exons: 3
Source: RefSeq, a predicted model, not a curated record
AUGUUCUAAAUGUACCUUAAAUUAAUACUUGCUCUGUUUCCUCACGGACUGUUUUAAUUGCCGGAUCUGUGCAUCAUGGCUGAUUUUGGUGGCUGUUUGAGACCUGGCGCAUCAUCCGUAGUUUUCCUCUAAAAGAGCUGUUUGGACUGAAGUGCACCUCUGUGAGACCCAUGAGGAGGAGGAGGCUGUGUUAUCUGUGUUAUAUAACCUGCCUUAUUCAAGAACACUGGAGAAAAAUCGCCAGAUAUUAUUAAUGUGAACAAUUAAACAAUUAAAAUAGAUUGGAAGUGUAAUUUCCAGAUGGCUUGUGGAUUCAAAUUGGACCCGCGCACGCGCAGUGAUCGAGUGUGGGGGAGGGGACAGUACGCACGCGCAGUGAUCGAGUGCGGGGGAGGGGAGAGUACGCAUGCGCAGUGCACAUCCGGCGGUGAUGUAAUGCUCAACAAUGCUGAAGGUGAAAAUUUCGAGUCGAAGGCGACAGAAAGACGUCGACUCACGGACUUGUGAACAAAGCAGUACUGGAUUUCCGACUUUCUUUUUUUAAAUUGUCUAUAUAAGGAUUAAUUUAAACAAAUUAGCGUUUUCAACGGCUGUGUUUUUUUUAAUCUGCGGAUAUUUACUGGAUGAACACCGGAAACUAUUUUUUUCCCUUUUCAACGUCGAUAAAGGUUCUUUAAAGCUUAUUCUAAUAUGGUUAAAUGUCUUUUCAUGUAACCCCACCCGAUAAAGUCUGUUCCUGUAAUUAAUUAAAAAAAGACGUUGCCCUUGAACAGUAAUGGCCAUCUUUUUUUUGUUCUCCUUGUUGGCUCAUUGACGUCACAAAAAUCCCCGUAUGUGGGCAGUCAGAGCUGCUAGGGGAAAGAGGCGCGCCCGGAGAUUCGUCGAGGGGACUGCGCAUGCGCAAUUCAGAAAGCGAGCAGGGUUUUUUUCCACCCUGAGAACUUUUGGCUUCGAAACCUUAUAAUGAAAUUAUUCACAUUUUAUCAAAGGCAUAACAUUAAAUACAUUUUCUCAGUAAAUCUGUUGACCGCUCAGUUUUCAGUGUUCGCUUUGUGAACGACGUUUCGGGUGUCCAAUCAGCGAGCGGCUCGUGAUGCGUUCAGCCAAUCAGAGCGCGAGAGGAACGUGGGCGGUUAAAGAAGACUGUAGUGACGGGACGCCAUUAAAGGGUUUCACCGUGCGCGCUUUAAAAACGUGCCGAGUUUCGUUAAAGAUGAUUAUUAAAAUUAUAUUUAAAAUGUUUUCAUUUCAUACUAACACUUGUACAUGCAGAUUUUAGUUUAAACGGUCAGGAGCGCGCUGUGGGCGUGAACGAGCCCAGAAAAUGGCCGCCGUCGCCUUUUGUUCAGGGAAAUGACCUGUGCUGUCGAUUUAGAGAUUUAACUCUAAUUCCAAUUUAAUUUGUAAAAACACGACAUUUUUCUUCACUCGUUUAAAGCCGCAUCCGUGUUCCGGACGUGACAUGACGUGGCGCUGCGUCUUUUUUUGAACCGCAUCGGUUUUAACCGCGUAUGUUCUAGAAAGUAAACCCGGAAGUGCGAUUAACAAACCAGCCAAUCAGAGUACAGAACCGAGUUUCUAGCUUUUAUUGUGCGUAUAAACGUAUAGAAAUGAACACGUGUACAGUUUGAAAAUGUUUUUUACACUUUCUUGUGUGAAAGUGACCUGGUGUACCCUAUCCCAGCAGCAGUCUUUCUAACCUUCAUUGUGUUUAAAAGCUGUGAAUUUAAUUGCAUUUCACUUCUGCACCAAUGUCGCAAAUCUCCAUAAUGCAUUUUUUUCACUUUGGAAGUGUAGAAAUGGAGAAUGAGUGUGUUCAUAAAGUUCAUAUGAGUUAUACUUCUACAAAAUAUGGACUCUCCAAUCAUCUUCGGCAUCCUGUGCUACCGGUCCGCGAUCUUGGUUAAAGUCCAUAUCGUUUUCCAUCGCAAUGAUCUGGUCCAAGCAGAAGAACCAUGUAACUAGCUUUUGCUGCUGCAUGAUGAAUGUCUGGGGAUUUUCCUCCACAAACAGGAAGUUUCAGUACCCAGACCUUGUCUCCGCUAUAAGACCAAUGGCACGCGGUGAAAAUCCUCCUGUUCCAAAACCUUCAGAGGUUCCAGUGGACACUAGAGGAUGAGAACGAGGAGGCAGAGAUGGAAGAGCCUGUGCAGAUGGAAGCUGUUGCAGAUCCAGAUUUCAAACCAUUAACCUACAGCAAGCUUCUCUUCAUUUCUGAGGUAGACCUCAAAGAUCUUGUUAGAGAUUUGGAUUUAUGGGAAAAAAAGCCAAUCAGAGCUGCUUGAAAAGGAUUGAGGUUGAAAGGAUGGAACCUGUCCUCAGGUACAGAAAUAUCAGUUAUUCUCCACAGUCCUAAACAUUAGACUAAAUUCUUCAGACAAGUUGACAGUCUGAACGUUUGCAGUGACAUCGGCAGAUCGCCUUCUGCCCUCGCUACGUGAACAUGAUUCAACGGAAUGCCGACUGAUUGCUGACUCAUCGUUAAGUUUGAAGGCGGUUUUGCUGUGCAUUGGUAAUAUCUACACUUCCGUACAUGUGGGACAUCUCUGGUGAUCUAAAGGUGACUGCAGUUUUACUGGGUCUGCAGAUUGGCUACACCAUCUACUGAAGUUCUUUGCAUUGGAUUUACUUUACACUGGCCACCUCUGAGGAAAUCAGUUCCUGCUUUGCGCAUCAAACUUGGGCUGAUGAACAACUUUAAGGCUGUGAAGCUUUUGCUUACUUUAAACAGAUGUUUCCAUGCAGCAGUUAUGCCAAGAUAAAAGAUCUCUUCGUUGGCCUGCAGAUCCAACCAGUGAUUAACUACAGUCACUCGAACUUUCCAACUUUAUGGGCAGCUUAAGGGCCCAAAACUACGGCAGCUAGGUUGAUCCAUUUUCUUUAUUCCCAGCCAACAUCUGUGCCGUGAGCAACGAAACCGUGAAAGCUUUUACGCAGACAUCGACGACAUGGAGAAACUAAACUCUCAGAGAAUUGUUGGAUGCUGAUGCUGAAGACUAGAAAUGUUCUGCUGCAGAUUUCUCUUGUUGGGAAAAAAAACAACAGAGGAAACACAUUUUUCAUAAAAUUUGUUACACAUCACCCACAGUCUCAGACAGUUUUAUGUUCAUCUUCAGAAGCUAUACAGUAUCUCAUCCUUCAUAUUUCUGAAGAGCUUUUAGUUUAAUCAGAUAAAAGAAAGCUUCAGCGUUGGGCUUCUCUCUGAAAACUGUGACUUCACUAAGAAGUAAAUAAAAUGGACGUUUUUUAGGGUAAAUGAACUCUGGGUAACAAUCAGAUCCAGACUUGAUCCCAAAUCGGAUCCCGUGUCUGAAACUGAACACCAAGAACAAAAGCGAUGACUAUAGUAGGACUUGUCUAUAUGGUAAGUAUUGAACAUGGUUCUCCUCUUCUUUGGAGACUUUCUCCUUGAGCGACCAUAUGAAGCAUGGUGGUGGGUGUGCUUUUGCUCCUGAUUGAUGUUUCCGUAUGAGGAAUUUCCCCCAUGACAUCAUAAAGAUCCAGAAAAAAUAAAACUUUUUGUUUUUCUACUCCGUCAUGCAUCCGAAUCGUUUCUUGAAACUGGGGAGAUGUUUAGAGUGAGAAUCUAACUCGCACUCGAUUAUUUAAAUGCACUGGGGGGAAAAAACUCAUAAAAAAAAAUCACCAAAAUACCAUUUAUUGGAUUUCUGACGUUUUCCAGUGUGUCGAACUGUGGAAUUUAAUCAAUAACGUUUUUUUUUUCUGAUUACAAUCGAUUUAUUAAUAUUAUUGCUAUUUACUUCCUGAGCUGUGAUCAGAAAUGUACUUUGGGAAAUAAAAAACAAAAACCUA